UACGUAGGGGGCAAGCGUUGUCCGGAUUUAUUGGGCGUAAAGAGCGUGUAGGCGGCCUGAAAGGUCAGCUGUGAAAACUCGAGGCUCAACCUCGAGACGUCGGUUGAAACCAUCUGGCUAGAGUCCGGAAGAGGAGUGUGGAAUUCCCGGUGUAGCGGUGAAAUGCGUAGAGAUCGGGAGGAACACCAGUGGCGAAGGCGGCCGGCUGGGGGUGACCUGACGCUGAGGCGCGAAAGCGUGGGGAGCGAACCGG
This 253-nucleotide ribosomal RNA is filed under the name uncultured bacterium. RNAcentral's name for it is "partial 16S ribosomal RNA". It matches the Rfam family "Bacterial small subunit ribosomal RNA", at positions 524 to 776 of the family's 1533-position model. The record is from RNAcentral.